CCAAAACAUAGAUAGCUGCACAGUUGCCACAGCAGACUGGAAAUGAAUCACAAGGAACAAAAUAAUUGGAGGUGACAAUAGCCAGAAAGGGCUGAGCUCAGAAAUAACAGGGCAUUAGAAACUGGUCGUGAGUACUGUAAUGGUGGUACCAGGCUAAGCUAACUCAAAUGUUUACGCCUUGCAUGAGUCAUUCAGCAUUAUUAAGCAUCUUUCAGCAUCAAUACCUACUGUAUACUGAGACCUUUUUGUAAAUAGUUUCUUGUAGCAUCAGAGCUGCACAUAGACUAAAGAUGGAGCAUUGGAAACUCUGUCCAGGGCUGUGAGAAUAACUUGCAUUCCAGCCCAGAAGUUGUUGGAAAGCCACCUCUUAAGGGAUUUUACAUUAUAUCAAGUAGGAAUGCUGGAAUUUUACUCAGAGCUAUCUACGAAAGAUCAUGUGGAAGGAAUCUAAAGAACUGGAUACAGGUGGACUUGUCUGCUGUGUGUUCACAGAUGUAUUCACUGACUAGUACUGCAAAUGCUCCACCUAUAAACCUUGCAGAAGAUACCACAAUUGGGACAGCCUCAGCCCUGAUGGAUCAAGCCCCAUCAUCAGGCUUCAUCAACAUGGAGUUAUACCAGCACAAGUGGAAUGUGAGAUAAGGUUACGGUUUCUUUUCCAGUGUAGCCACAUUGCACAAUUCCUACUGUGCACCAUUUAUAGAAGGACUAACAGCUCUAGCUUGUUCUGCAGUUCUAAGAGAGAUCAAACUGUUACAAGAGAAGGAGGUGAUGUUUGUUCAGUCAGUGAGAAAAGCACUGCGAGGCUACAGCCUGUGGCAGGUGGGAGCUCUCGCUCGAGUGUCUGCCCUCUUCCACCACUGAUGUACACGUGUCUUCACAGAAAGGUGACGUCUCAGUCUCUUGCCUGAGAAUAGCACCCAGAAAUCCCAGAAUUUGUUUUAUUUUUCUUCUGACUGAUGGAGCUUUCCGCCUGCUGAAGGACUUCUGUCUGAAGUGGACACACUCUGGGUUUGUUCCAGCAUAACCAACAUUAAAGUCAGACCAUGCCGUGGUCACUUGCUGUGUAAUCGUUAUACUUCUAUUCCUCUUUUUCUCUUCCUCCCCUUUGCUUUUAUUCUUUAUAAACAACAAUAGAUUGAAGUUAUUUGAGGCAAAAAGCAUUUCCUCAUGUGUAUUUUUACAGUCUCUAACAUGAAGUUACCCUGUCCUAGAGUCUCUGUCUAAUGCAUACAGUGCUACGUGUGUAAGCUGGGCACGGCACCAGCCAGAGGCAGCAGUCCUUGUAAGCAGGCAGGCAACAUAACUGUGAUCUACCUGCCCACCUCAGCCCACUGACCAUUUUUUGAGCAUUUUUUGAUGGAUGACAGUGUCAUCCGUCCUCUACCACUGCUCAGCCCUGGAAACAUUCCUCAUCUAUUGUUUUCCUUCUUCUCUUAGCACAUCUCAAAAAGCUUGGCAGAAUCUAGCACAAAUUACAUGAAGUCAUGCAAAGCAAACAUUUGGAAGCUGCAGAAAUGGAUGGUUAUAUAUUUUUUUUUCAGCUGUGUAUUGGAAGAGACUCUCCUGACCAAGCUGUUUUUCAGCCAUGUAAAGCUGUUGAUGACACAGGGUUUUCCCUCCGGAAAGGGAUAUGAUCCCAUGUAGGACAUGACCCCAGCAGCCUGUGGGACCAUGUUUGUACCCCUUGGCAUCCACCGUCUUUUUGAGGGCUGAAGCCCUGGUCAGCUGAGAAGGGAACAGAAGAGGAAAUUGAGAAAAUUAAGGUCUUUAGAAAUGAUUCUGUUGGUACAGCU
RNAcentral lists this long non-coding RNA (1796 nucleotides) under Anas zonorhyncha (Eastern spot-billed duck). RNAcentral's name for it is "lncRNA (ENSAZOG00000004908.1)". Lineage: Eukaryota; Metazoa; Chordata; Aves; Anseriformes; Anatidae. The record is from RNAcentral.